AAAGCAUGAAGUGAAGAGGAAAGGAAAGAACACAAACCCUUGGUGGGAAAAUUGAAGAAAAAGUGUGGGAUUCCAAGGAAUUAAGCAAGGUAAAGUGAAAAUUCUUUAUUUUUACUUGAGAUUUACAAUACCCAUACUUUAUUUUCUUAUUUCUAUGGUUGAGAAACAUGACUUCAUAGUGAAUAAGUGGUAGGCAAAAUGGGUAUGGAGAGAGAAUGAUCUUGGAUUGGUUUGAUUUUUAGGUAUGUUAGUGUUUUUAGGUGGUUAAUGAUGUGUAGCAUGAAAACAAGUGAAGAAAACCACUAAAGGUUUGGUGCCCAUCAAUAGCUGAAUUCUCUAAGUGAAUAAUGAGGAAGAAUGGGAUGUUAUUCUAGGUGAUUUGAUUAAGAAAUAAUAGUUUUUAGUGCAGGAAUUAAUGAAUAAUGGUGAGAAAAUUAAGUAGGAAAAAAAUCACGGAGUUAGUGUACCAUUGUUGGCCGAAAGUUCCAAGAAGAAAAAUGAAGAUAAAUUUUGCCUAAUUGUGUGUUAAUUAGUUUGUGCUUAGUGAAUUGAGGGAUUAGAAAAGAAAUGGAGCAAGUUGGAGUGAAAUUGGAUGCAUUGGCCAAUUUAUCGGAUGAAAAAUCCACUUAGGCCAAUACCGAGUCUAGAUGGUUACUCCUGCAUUUUUCAUUUCAUAUCAUAUAUAUAUCGAGCCUGAAAUAGCUUAUGACUGUUAGACAUAAUUUAAUUGGAAUAUGUGUCAUGGAUUAUGGCUAGGUGGUGAGCCAUUGGAUACGGGUAAAGGACUGUACCCGCGGACUGAAAAUAGGAGUAUUUUUUCUCCUAAUACCGGUAAGUGGACUUGCAUUUCAAAAGUUGUUUUGGGGAUAUAAUGUAUUUGUCAAACAAUUGAAUGGAUUAUCCAGCUUUUCAUAAAAACAAGUGCCUUGGGAACAAGCUUUUAAUAGAUUGUCUUCAUUUUGUGACAUGUGACUAUUAUUGAUUCUUGCACUACCACAUUGUGUUGAUAUAUAUAUAUAUAUAUGAAUACAUUGUUAUGUAAUGAUAUUGACUCGACUAUGUGCGAGUAAAGAGUGCGUAUAAGCCGAUGAUGACCCGAUUAUGUGCGAGUAGGGAGUGCACAUAACCCGGUGAUGACCCGGUUAUGUGCGAGUAGGGAGUGCGCAUAACCCGGUGAUGACCUAGCCAUGUGCGAGUAGGGAGUGUGCAUGAGUUGGGAAUGAUGAUGAUGGGAUGGUGUGUAUGGUGAUGAUAAUGGGAUGGUGUGCAUGAUGAUGAUGAUGAGAUGGUGUGCAUAUGAUGAUUGAUAUAUAUAUAUAUAUAUAUAUACAUAUAUGGUAUAUGGUUGUAAAUGUAAAUAUGUGAGCAUUUGAUUUGUUGAAAUUUGGGAGUUUACAUGUGUUACAUGUUGCUAUUGUUAUUUUAGCGGGAUGGCUUGUUUUAAGGGAAAAAGAGACUUUUUCCUUGAUGUUCUAAUCCUCGCUGCAGCGAGAUUCAUUCUUGUUGCAGCGAGAAACUCUCAGAUUUGAGGGCUUUCACCAGACCUGGUUCUCGCUACAGCGAGAAUGAAGUUCGCUGCAACGAGAAACUUUCUGUCCAUUUUGCUAACUUGUGGGUUUUCGCCAUAUUUCCCAUUUCUUUGGUACCAUAGUUGAGCAUGGAUCUUUGUAAAGUGAUUUACUCAUGUGGGGUUUACAUGAGAGGUUUAGAAGAGCCAAAACAAUUACAUUAUUUUGAGAAAAUGAAUGCAUCAUGAUUUCGUUAAACAUUCCUUAUGGUAUGCUUGUUCCCUUUCUUGUUCACUCACUGAGUUUAUGCUCACUGCUUUCAACUUCAUGUUUUCAGAUUACAAGGCAGCUGGUAACUAGGUCAAGGUACCUUUGUAGACUCGACUAUUGGUAGGUGUCUCGGCAUUUAGUAGUUGUACAUUCGUCAAGUUUCUCCGCUAGACAUCGAGUCUUCUUUUGUUAUGUAUAGACGAACCUAAUGUGAAUUAUUAAGAUACAUGUUGUAGACAGUGCAUAUACACUUGUUUGGUAUGCCAGUAUGAGGGGCAAUGUUCAAUAUUAUUUCGAUUCUAAGUUAUGAUAUAUGACUUAGCAGUUUAUGAUGGAAUGAUGAAUAUGUCAGAUUAAUAGGCUUGCUUAGGCUUAGUGGACUACGUCCAUUGGGUCCAUGCGCUAGUCAUGGCCCGAAAUUUGGGUCGUGACAAAAAGUGAGCUGAUUUUGGUGAUUUUAGAAGGUUAUUGGCUGAUAUUUAGUGGUUAGAAAUGUUCGAGAGAAAAUGGGACAAUUUAGAGCUAAAAUGGAGCUCGUUAGCAAUUUAUCAGGUAAAGUGUAAAAGAAUAGGUUAAUAUCGCGUUUAAGCCGUUUUAGGCUAUUGCAUUUCAUACCAUGCAUUAGUAUAGGAUUUAAGUCAAUUAUAUAGUGAUUUAGCAUCAAUGUGGUGAAUUGUGUAAUUUUUGCAAUAUGUUUAAGAUGAGAGCUUUCGGUAAAGGUAAGGAAGACGUACCCGAUGAACAGUGAUCGGGGCACCUAGAAAGCAUUUAAUUUGUACAAACUGUGAGUAAACCUAUUAUUAUUGUAAAUUAUCUAGAGUUUAUUUUUAAAUGCUCAUUAUGUAUUUUAUGAAACGAAAAUGAGAUUAAAAUGGGAGUUUUGAUGUUUUAGAAAUAAAUGUGCCAAAUAAAUAUAUUGUGUUGAUUAUCUGAAAUAAGAAACUUUUGAUCAUGAAAUUGAGUAAUUAGAGGCUACCAAUUGUCUUGAAAAAUAUAUUUUCCUAUGAAUGGCUUAUGAUAUAUGAAUAUAUGUGGCUAUAUUUUAUAAGUGCAUUGGGAAUUUAUGUAAGUUGUGCUUUACUAUGCAGGCUGGGUAAAUAAAUAAAAGCCACGUUAUACUGUUCAAAUUUAAUUAAAAUUGGAGGGUUUAGUCACUGCAAUGACGGGUUUUCGUGGACUACCUAUAAGAGGGGUAUGGUAAACUCGGUUGCAUAGUUACUCCGGUUGUAGAGGCGAGGAGGGUAACUCCUGGGGUAGUGUUAGAGCUCACUUCACGUCGAACCCCCAUGUGAAUGUGUAACUCAGCCAACGCCAAGGAAUGGCUUGUUUUCAAAACUAACAUGUGUUUAACAUGUAAAUAUCUUAACAACCUUGGCAGACUCGGUUAGAUGCCUCGGCCAAGGUAUCCCCGAGGACUAGUUUUUUGCUUGAGCCCUGUUUCUAAUAAAAGUCAUAAGCCUUAACAACUGUUUUGGUAAAUUACAAAUAUUUUAUGGUUUCAGAAAUAAAUUGCAAA
This 3294-nucleotide long non-coding RNA is filed under the name Theobroma cacao (cacao). RNAcentral describes it as "long non-coding RNA (TCAC_LNC001226)". Lineage: Eukaryota; Viridiplantae; Streptophyta; Magnoliopsida; Malvales; Malvaceae. The record is from RNAcentral.